GACGAACGCUGGCGGCGUGCUUAACACAUGCAAGUCGAACGGAAAGGCCCUGCUUUUGUGGGGUGCUCGAGUGGCGAACGGGUGAGUAACACGUGAGUAACCUGCCCUUGACUUUGGGAUAACUUCAGGAAACUGUGGCUAAUACCGGAUAGGAGCUCCUGCUGCAUGGUGGGGGUUGGAAAGUUUCGGCGGUUGGGGAUGGACUCGCGGCUUAUCAGCUUGUUGGUGGGGUAGUGGCUUACCAAGGCUUUGACGGGUAGCCGGCCUGAGAGGGUGACCGGCCACAUUGGGACUGAGAUACGGCCCAGACUCAUACGGGAGGCAGCAGUGGGGAAUAUUGCACAAUGGGCGGAAGCCGGAUGCAGCAACGCCGCGUGCGGGAUGACGGCCUUCGGGUUGUAAACCGCUUUCGCCUGUGACGAAGCGUGAGUGACGGUAAUGGGUAAAGAAGCACCGGCUAACUACGUG
This 468-nucleotide ribosomal RNA is filed under the name uncultured bacterium. Its description in RNAcentral is "partial 16S ribosomal RNA". It matches the Rfam family "Bacterial small subunit ribosomal RNA", at positions 28 to 507 of the family's 1533-position model. The record is from RNAcentral.